Molecule: ribosomal RNA, 733 nt
Filed under: uncultured archaeon
Lineage: Archaea
Description: bacterial SSU rRNA
Rfam family: Archaeal small subunit ribosomal RNA
Source: RNAcentral
GUUGUGCGCUCUCAAGCUAUGUUGAGAGAGCAGCAAACGGCUCAGUAACACGUAGUUAACCUACCCUCAGGACAGGGAUACCCCCGGGAAACUGGGGAUAAUACCUGAUAGGCGGAAGCGCCUGGAAUGGUCUUCCACUGAAAGGGUGUUAAAAACAUGCUUUUAACACUGCCUGAGGAUGGGACUGCGACCGAUCAGGUUGUUGGUGGGGUAAUGGCCUACCAAGCCUAUAACCGGUACGGGCCCUGAGAGGGGGAGCCCGGAGAUGGGAACUGAGAAACGGUCCCAGGUCCUACGGGACGCAGCAGGCGCGAAACCUCCACAAUGCACGAAAGUGCGAUGGGGUUAUCCCGAGUGCUUUCCGAUGAGGAUGGCUUUUCCUCGGUGUAAAAAGGCGAGGGAAUAAAGGGGGGGCAAGACUGGUGUCAGCCGCCGCGGUAAUACCAGCUCCCUGAGUGGUAGGGAUGAUUAUUUGGCCCAAAACGUUCGUAGCCGGCUUGGCAAGUCUUCCGUUAAAUCCAGCGACUCAAUCGUUGGUCUGCGGAGGAUACUACUAGGCUAGAGGACGGGAGAGGUUGACGGUAUUCCCAGUGUAGGGGUGAAAUCCAAUAAUCCUGGGAGGACCACCAGUGGCGAAGGCGGUCAACGAGAACGUGCCUGACGGUGAUGGACGAAAGCUGGGGGAGCGAACCGGAUUAGACACCCGGGUAGUCCCAGCCGUAAACGAUGCGGG